RNAcentral lists this ribosomal RNA (1344 nucleotides) under uncultured bacterium. RNAcentral describes it as "bacterial SSU rRNA". It matches the Rfam family "Bacterial small subunit ribosomal RNA", at positions 28 to 1381 of the family's 1533-position model. The record is from RNAcentral.
GACGAACGCUGGCGGCGUGCUUAACACAUGCAAGUCGAACGAUGAAGCCUAGCUUGCUGGGUGGAUUAGUGGCGAACGGGUGAGUAACACGUGAGUAACCUGCCCUUGACUCUGGGAUAAGCGCUGGAAACGGCGUCUAAUACCGGAUACGACCUGCCCCGGCAUCGGGUGCGGGUGGAAAGUUUUUCGGUCAAGGAUGGACUCGCGGCCUAUCAGGUAGUUGGUGAGGUAAUGGCUCACCAAGCCGACGACGGGUAGCCGGCCUGAGAGGGUGACCGGCCACACUGGGACUGAGACACGGCCCAGACUCCUACGGGAGGCAGCAGUGGGGAAUAUUGCACAAUGGGCGAAAGCCUGAUGCAGCAACGCCGCGUGGGGGAUGACGGCCUUCGGGUUGUAAACCUCUUUUAGUAGGGAAGAAGGGCUUCGGCUUGACGGUACCUGCAGAAAAAGCACCGGCUAGCUACGUGCCAGCAGCCGCGGUAAUACGUAGGGUGCAAGCGUUGUCCGGAAUUAUUGGGCGUAAAGAGCUCGUAGGCGGUUUGUCGCGUCUGCUGUGAAAACCCGAGGCUCAACCUCGGGCCUGCAGUGGGUACGGGCAGACUAGAGUGCGGUAGGGGAGAAUGGAAUUCCUGGUGUAGCGGUGGAAUGCGCAGAUAUCAGGAGGAACACCGAUGGCGAAGGCAGUUCUCUGGGCCGUUACUGACGCUGAGGAGCGAAAGCGUGGGGAGCGAACAGGAUUAGAUACCCUGGUAGUCCACGCCGUAAACGUUGGGAACUAGAUGUGGGGACCUUUCCACGGUCUCCGUGUCGCAGCUAACGCAUUAAGUUCCCCGCCUGGGGAGUACGGCCGCAAGGCUAAAACUCAAAGGAAUUGACGGGGGCCCGCACAAGCGGCGGAGCAUGCGGAUUAAUUCGAUGCAACGCGAAGAACCUUACCAAGGCUUGACAUAUACCGGAAACUUCCAGAAAUGGUUGCCCCGCAAGGUCGGUAUACAGGUGGUGCAUGGUUGUCGUCAGCUCGUGUCGUGAGAUGUUGGGUUAAGUCCCGCAACGAGCGCAACCCUCGUUCUAUGUUGCCAGCACGUCAUGGUGGGAACUCAUAGGAGACUGCCGGGGUCAACUCGGAGGAAGGUGGGGAUGACGUCAAAUCAUCAUGCCCCUUAUGUCUUGGGCUUCACGCAUGCUACAAUGGCCGGUACAAAGGGCUGCGAUACCGUAAGGUGGAGCGAAUCCCAAAAAGCCGGUCUCAGUUCGGAUUGAGGUCUGCAACUCGACCUCAUGAAGUCGGAGUCGCUAGUAAUCGCAGAUCAGCAACGCUGCGGUGAAUACGUUCCCGGGCCU